This 434-nucleotide ribosomal RNA is filed under the name uncultured bacterium. RNAcentral describes it as "partial 16S ribosomal RNA". It matches the Rfam family "Bacterial small subunit ribosomal RNA", at positions 29 to 507 of the family's 1533-position model. The record is from RNAcentral.
AGCGAACGCUGGCGGCAGGCCUAACACAUGCAAGUCGAACGAACCUUUCGGGGUUAGUGGCGGACGGGUGAGUAACACGUGGGAACGUGCCUUUAGGUUCGGAAUAAUUCAGGGAAACUUGUGCUAAUACCGAAUGUGCUCUUCGGGGGAAAGAUUAAUCGCCUUUAGAGCGGCCGGGGUCUGUUUAGCUAGUUGGUUGAGGUAAUGGCUCACCAAGGCGACGAUCAGUAGCUGGUCUGAGAGGAUGAUCAGCCACAUUGGGACUGAGACACGGCCCAAACUCCUACGGGAGGCAGCAGUGGGGAAUCUUGCGCAAUGGGCGAAAGCCUGACGCAGCCAUGCCGCGUGAAUGAUGAAGGUCUUAGGAUUGUAAAAUUCUUUCACCGGGGACGAUAAUGACGGUACCCGGAGAAGAAGCCCCGGCUAACUUCGUG